CGGCUUUCCCUGCUUCUCGGCGAGAUCCGAAACCGCGACAAUGGCCGCAAUCCAAGCUCUCGAGCCUCGCGGGUGGGGAAAAUAGUAUGCGGGGAAAUCCUCGAGCUUUAUAGGGGCGUCGGUUUGGCGAAAAAGGCAACGAAUCACGGAAUAGACGGAGUCGGUUUUCCCCCGGUGGAAUCCUGUUCGUCCACGGCACAAGGAAGGAGAAGAACAGCGCGCUGACAAGUGGGUCCAGGCGCGCAGUGAGAGAGCUGGCGGGGCCAGUUCGUCAGCCAAGGAAAGGGGGAGAAAUCAGCGCGCAGAGAGCUGGCCGCUGGGCCGCGCAGCGUGCUGGGCUCGGGCGGGGGAAUUGGGCCGGGGCGAGGAGGAAGAAUGGGCCGGUUGCGCGUUUGGGCCGAGGGGGAAAAGGGAGAAGGGAAACUGGGCGCAUUGCUGCUGGGCCUUCCAGGCCGAAACCGGAGAGAGGAAAAGGAUUUGCUCCUUCUUUUGUUUUUUUUUCUUUUAAAGCCUUUUCAAAACAAUUUAAAAAUCAGUUUGAAAAUAUUUUGACUUUCCCCUAAAUCACACAGCACAAGAGAGUAAAUGCUCCAAUAAGAAUGCACAACAAGUUGCUACAUCCUAUGAUAAAUUUUAAAUAAAUGAAAAAUAUUAUUUUCCUAUAUUUUCAUGAGCACAGAAUACAAAAUUAAAUCAUUUUUCUCCUAUUUCAAAAGUUGUAAAUUUUUGGGUGUUACAAAUCUACCCCCCUUAAAAUGAAUCUCGUCCUCGAGAUUCAGAAGAGCACGGAUUCCAAAAGAGAAAACAAGCACAAGAUCUUGAUAUCUAAUUCAACUUCACAACUUGUAUUCCAAAAGCAGACACUCAU
Molecule: long non-coding RNA, 868 nt
Filed under: Sorghum bicolor (sorghum)
Lineage: Eukaryota; Viridiplantae; Streptophyta; Magnoliopsida; Poales; Poaceae
Description: long non-coding RNA (SBIC_LNC016595)
Source: RNAcentral